GUAGUUGCGGGCAUAACCUGCCGGUGGUCUACUAAACUCUGUUUACUAUGUUAUUCUGAAUAAUAUAACUAAAUAAGUUAAAACUUUCAACAACGGAUCUCUUGGUUCUGGCAUCGAUGAAGAACGCAGCGAAAUGCGAUAAGUAAUGUGAAUUGCAGAAUUCAGUGAAUCAUCGAAUCUUUGAACGCACAUUGCGCCCAUUAGUAUUCUAGUGGGCAUGCCUGUUCGAGCGUCAUUUCAACMCUUAAGCCCUGUUGCUUAGCGUUGGGAGUCUACAGAUACCCUCUGUAGUUCCUUAAAGUUAGUGGCGGAGUCGGUUUCACACUCUAGACGUAGUAWWUUUUAUUYUCGCCUAUAGAUGAGCCGGUCCCUUGCCGUAAAAACMCCUAAUUUCUAAAGG
RNAcentral lists this ribosomal RNA (400 nucleotides) under Xylaria arbuscula. Its description in RNAcentral is "eukaryotic LSU rRNA". The stretch from base 82 to 235 matches the Rfam family "5.8S ribosomal RNA". Lineage: Eukaryota; Fungi; Ascomycota; Sordariomycetes; Xylariales; Xylariaceae. The record is from RNAcentral.